AGUGGGGGAUAACUCUGCGAAAGCGGAGCUAAUACCGCGUAAGACUACGGAAUCGCAUGAUUCAGUAGUAAAAGGCUUUCGAUUUUUCGGAGGUCGCUCAGGGAUGAGUCCGCGUCUGAUUAGCUAGUUGGUAGGGUAACGGCCUACCAAGGCAACGAUCAGUAGCCGGCCUGAAAGGGUGUUCGGCCACACUGGAAUUGAGAUACGGUCCAGACUCCUACGGGAGGCAGCAGUGGGGAAUCUUGCACAAUGGGGAAACCCUGACGCAGUGACGCCGCGUGAACGAUGAAGUCCUUCGGGAUGUAAAGUUCUGUCAGGCGGGAAGAACCCCCUCCGAUUGUAUCGGAGGGAUGACGGUACCGCCAGAGGAAGCACCGGCUAAUUCCGUGCCAGCAGCCGCGGUAAUACGGAGGGUGCAAGCGUUGUUCGGAAUUACUAGGCGUAAAGAGCGUGUAGGUGGUUAACUAAGUCGGAUGUGAAAAUUCCGAGCUCAACUCGGAACCUGCAUUCGAAACUGGUUAACUUGAGUGUAGGAGAGGAGAGCGGAAUUCCUAGCGUAGCGGUGAAAUGCGUAGAUAUUAGGAAGAACACCGGUGGCGAAGGCGGCUCUCUGGCCUAAAACUGACACUGAGACGCGAAAGCGUGGGAGCAAACAGGAUUAGAUACCCUGGUAGUCCACGCCGUAAACGAUGGGCAUUAGGUGUAGGAGGUAUCCAAUCCUUCUGUGCCGAAGUUAACACAUUAAAUGCCCCGCCUGGGGAGUACGACCGCAAGGUUGAAACUCAAAGGAAUUGACGGGGGCCCGCACGAGCGGUGGAGCAUGU
This 824-nucleotide ribosomal RNA is filed under the name uncultured bacterium. RNAcentral's name for it is "bacterial SSU rRNA". It matches the Rfam family "Bacterial small subunit ribosomal RNA", at positions 135 to 942 of the family's 1533-position model. The record is from RNAcentral.